AGCAGCCGCGGUAAUUCCAGCUCCAAUAGCGUAUAUUAAAGUUGUUGCAGUUAAAAAGCUCGUAGUUGAAUUUCGGGAUCAAUAUAUCGGUCGUGCCUCUGGUACGUACUGGUAUCAUUGAUUUCUCCCUUCUGACGAACCAUGAUUUCAUUUAUUUGGUGUCAUGKGGAGUUAGGACUGUUACUUUGAAAAAAUUAGAGUGUUUAAAGCAGGCAUUAGCUUGAAUACAUUAGCAUGGAAUAAUGAAAUAGGACGUUUGACCCUAUUUUGUUGGUUUCUAGGAUCGACGUAAUGAUUAAUAGGGAUAGUUGGGGGCAUUAGUAUUCAAUUGUCAGAGGUGAAAUUCUUGGAUUUAUUGAAGACUAACUACUGCGAAAGCAUUUGCCAAGGAUGUUUUCAUUAAUCAAGAACGAAAGUUAGGGGAUCGAAGACGAUCAGAUACCGUCGUAGUCUUAACCAUAAACUAUGCCGACUAGGGAUCGGAUGAUGUUAAUUUUAUAAUGACUCA
Molecule: ribosomal RNA, 508 nt
Filed under: uncultured Glomus
Lineage: Eukaryota; Fungi; Glomeromycota; Glomeromycetes; Glomerales; Glomeraceae
Description: SSU rRNA
Rfam family: Eukaryotic small subunit ribosomal RNA
Source: RNAcentral